CAGGUAAACCUGGAUGGCGAGCUGGUUUUUCCACCUGCCAGUGUGUACAGAGAUACCGACCCGAUGAGAAUAUUUUAUUCCGGACCAACAGCGGGCUCAAAGUUCAUAUUUUGGGAAAGCCACUUCACCGCAACCGACUAUUUCGUCCAGUUUAACCCAUCUCUCGCCUACAACCAAGAAAAUGUCCGUAUAAGAAGUGGCGGAUACAUCUCAAUACAAGCCAAGUGGACACGGGAUAUCGAUAUUCAAAUAUUUAUGAAACUGGUGAACAUUUCCAUAAUAAAGACACUUCGUUCCAUUGGAGAAACAGGUAUCUUAAUAAAGGUGUACAGCAAUGGAUUCGCGAUUGGCUACUCAAACAAAAGCACGGGUGGUGUCAUGGACUAUACACUGAAAAAUAUACCACUGGACACAUUUCACGUAGAACCGCUACCAAUUUCAGUAAUUGAUUUCACCAUAGUAAGUAACAAGAUUACUUACU
This is a long non-coding RNA of Rhipicephalus microplus (southern cattle tick), 481 nucleotides long. NCBI's taxonomy places the organism in Eukaryota, Metazoa, Arthropoda, Arachnida, Ixodida, Ixodidae. The record is from RefSeq and is a predicted model, not a curated record.